This 83-nucleotide transfer RNA is filed under the name Candidatus Cloacimonadota bacterium. RNAcentral describes it as "tRNA-Ser". It matches the Rfam family "tRNA". Rfam says of the family: Transfer RNA (tRNA) molecules are approximately 80 nucleotides in length. Lineage: Bacteria; Pseudomonadati; Candidatus Cloacimonadota. The record is from RNAcentral.
GGAGGAUUAGUCCUAACUGGUAAGGCAGCGGUCUUGAAAACCGCCGGGCUCUGCCCUUGGGGGUUCGAAUCCCUCAUCCUCCG